GACUCAGCUUGCUCUGGCUGCUGGAUUGAAUUAGCUGCAGGACCAAGAUGAGCCCU
This 56-nucleotide microRNA precursor is filed under the name Pongo abelii (Sumatran orangutan). RNAcentral's name for it is "Pab-Mir-1286_pre stem-loop". RNAcentral also lists the same sequence under 1 other name. Lineage: Eukaryota; Metazoa; Chordata; Mammalia; Primates; Hominidae. The record is from RNAcentral.